Molecule: ribosomal RNA, 474 nt
Filed under: uncultured bacterium
Lineage: Bacteria
Description: bacterial SSU rRNA
Rfam family: Bacterial small subunit ribosomal RNA
Source: RNAcentral
ACUCCUACGGGAGGCAGCAGUGGGGAAUAUUGCACAAUGGGGGAAACCCUGAUGCAGCCAUGCCGCGUGUGUGAAGAAGGCCUUCGGGUUGUAAAGCACUUUCAGUAGGGAGGAAGGUAGUGUAGUUAACACCUGCAUUAUUUGACGUUACCUACAGAAGAAGCACCGGCUAACUCCGUGCCAGCAGCCGCGGUAAUACGGAGGGUGCGAGCGUUAAUCGGAAUUACUGGGCGUAAAGCGCGUGUAGGUGGCUUGUUAAGCCAGAUGUGAAAGCCCCGGGCUCAACCUGGGAACUGCAUUUGGAACUGGCAGGCUAGAGUUUUGUAGAGGGUGGUAGAAUUUCAGGUGUAGCGGUGAAAUGCGUAGAGAUCUGAAGGAACACCGGUGGCGAAGGCGACCACCUGGCCAAUAACUGACACUGAGACGCGAAGGCGUGGGUAGCAAACGGGAUUAGAUACCCUGGUAGCUACGAGU